RNAcentral lists this ribosomal RNA (253 nucleotides) under uncultured bacterium. Its description in RNAcentral is "partial 16S ribosomal RNA". It matches the Rfam family "Bacterial small subunit ribosomal RNA", at positions 524 to 776 of the family's 1533-position model. The record is from RNAcentral.
UACGUAGGGUGCGAGCGUUAAUCGGCAUUACUGGGCGUAAAGCGUGCGCCGGCGGUUAUGUAAGACAGAGGUGAAAUCCCCGGGCUCAACCUGGGAACUGCCUUUGUGACUGCAUGACUAGAGUACGGCAGAGGGGGAUGGAAUUCCGCGUGUGGCAGUGAAAUGCGUAGAUAUGCGGAGGAACACCGAUGGCGAAGGCAAUCCCCUGGGCCUGUACUGACGCUCAUGCACGAAAGCGUGGGGAGCAAACAGG